UAUUGAUAACGAUUGAAUAAAUUUAAAUUGAAAUAUACAUGUAAAGCUUACAAAAUUAUUUAAUAAGAAAAAAAGUUGCAUGGAAUUUUUUUUUUUCUUGAUGCUAAUUUGAGCUUUGUAAUUAUCAAAGGAUAGGCUUUUCUCUUUCUUUACCUUUCUGAAAUUCCAUUAAUUUGAAGUUGUUUAGUGUUAGAAGUGAUAAGAUUCUGUGCUCAACUCAGGGGAUUAUUAUGAAAAGUCAAUAUAUUUUUUUAUAUAUUUUUAUUUAGUGUAAAAUUUAUAUUCCUAAAUAGAUAGAGAUUUGCAUUUAUAAAUAGAUGGAGAUUUGUAUUCCUAAUUAAUAGAGCAUAAUUUUAGAGAUUUUUUUUUCUUAUUUAGGAAUUUGAGUUAUAUAUGAAUAUGUGAUAUUCCGUUCUAUCAAAGGUAGAAAAAUAAUAAUACAAAUAUAAUAUUUGUGGUUCUCUUCCCUCAUUUUCUUUCUUUCUUAUUUUUCUAAUUCUUAAAUUCUUUAACAUUUAGUUUUGGUUAGAGUAAUAGGAAAUGCUACAGCUCUAGUUAGCUUUUGUUGAAAAGUAUAAAUUAUGUUGGAUUUUUUUUUGUUGAGGGUGUUCGAUUCUAGUUCUGGUUCAGAAUCUGUCUAGAAAUUGAAAUUGAAUCAAAAUUUCGGUACAGUUCCGCUUUGGUUUUUGGAUAUUUUAGUUCUCAGUUUUGAUUUGGUUAAGUAUGGUUCCAGUUUAAUCCUUGAUUUUUAAAAAUAAUUUUAUGCAACUUUUUAUAUGAAAAGUUAUACAUAUGAAUUAGCAUUUUAACUUUAAAGUUGAUUAUUAAUGCACAAUAUAUUAUAUAAUAUACCUUUUAACUAUUUUUUUAAUUGUAUAAUAUUUACCUAUAUAUAUAUAUAAUGAUGCACGGAAACGACAAUGCUCGACGUUUCCAUGUUUUGGAAAGAUUUUCGACUUGAAAACGGCGAGACACGGAGUGGAGGCGUUUCGAGCCCGUUUCAUGAAAUUUGGAGAUUUAAUGUGUUUCGGAUGUUGGAAACGCGUUUCUUUAAAAUUAAAAAAAAAAAAGGGAAAUUGAUGUUAGGUUAAAAACGCUAUAAAACAAAGAGGUAGGGGUUGUAUCGCAAAAGAAGAAGAAGAAGAAGAAAAAAGAAAGAAAGAAAGAAGAAGACUUAUUUGGCAGCAACAGUGGUGACGGCAGCUAGAUCAUCGGAUGGCGGCGAGGCAGACACAAUUUUCCUCUUUGGGUUUUGAUCCUCUAACUGUUGAGCUGUUUUCUUUGGGCUCUAUUACUUGCUUUAUGAAGAUAGGAGCAGAAGUUACAUUAUAUAUAAAGAAUGAUAAAAUAAUUGUAAAAAGAUGUGUUUUAUUUUAGUUUUAUAUUUAUUAUGUUUUUAUAUAAAGAUAGAUAACUUAGCAGACUAGCUCAACUGUUUAAAUUCAUGUUUCUCAGUUCCAAAGGAGAAACAUUUUCAAGGAAAUUAAUGUUUUUUUUUAAGUGAGAAAAUUGAAUCAAUUUGAACCUUAUAAUUCAUCUAUUUUUAUGUAAUGUGGCCAUCAAGCAUUUAAGAUUUUUUAUGGGCGAUUAACUUUAAUAAUUGCAAUGUAAAAGGCAAUCUUUCUAGUAUUAAGGCCUUAUUAUACCAUUGUGGCCAUUGAAACUUUGUUAAAAUGUUAUCUCACAUUAAAAGAAUAUAAAAUGAAAAACCUACAUAUAAAUAAUUGGUUUGCAAUAUUAAAAUUUUAUUUUUUUUAAUAUUUGAAUGUGUUGUAUUUUAUAUUUUUCUGAGUAUAAAACUUAUAUACAUGUAUUUUUUUUUAUAUGGUUAAAUGUUGCUUUGGACUUUAUUUAUUGUUCAUGAUUUGUGUGGUUGGACAUAUAUAUAUAUAUAUAAUCUUAAUUACAUUUUCAUUGAAAUAUAUAAUUGUAUUAAAAAUAUAUAAUACAUCUAAAAAAUAUAUAAAAAAGGUAUAAAAUCGAUACUCAGUUGAUAUGGAUUUGGUUCAGUUAUUAGUAAAGAAUCAAAAUCAAAUCAAUUCAUAAAAAAGGGUUCGAUUUGAUUGAGACCUGAGAAAUGUACACAGCCAUGUUUUUUGUUUCCAUUGUCGGCGUUAGAUUCUGUUUGGUUCCUCAGAAAAGUUAAGGAAGACGGAAAAGCAAGCAUUUUGGUUCUUUAACCUUUGGGAUUCAGUUCUAAUAUCCAAUUAAGCUUUACAGUUUAUCUAUUGAUUUCGUUGCAGAAUUUUAUAGUGUUACCAUUCUUUUCAUUAGAACUUUUGUCUCACCAUCGAAUAAGUUUGCCACGUCGCUUGAUUAUGAUUUUAUUUUUUUUUAUUUUUUAUUAAGUAUGG
Hevea brasiliensis (rubber tree) is the source of this 2354-nucleotide long non-coding RNA. RefSeq lists it as uncharacterized. The transcript is spliced from 2 exons. The record is from RefSeq and is a predicted model, not a curated record. NCBI's taxonomy places the organism in Eukaryota, Viridiplantae, Streptophyta, Magnoliopsida, Malpighiales, Euphorbiaceae.